RNAcentral lists this unclassified non-coding RNA (146 nucleotides) under soil metagenome. RNAcentral's name for it is "partial internal transcribed spacer 1". The record is from RNAcentral.
CCGAGUUUACAACCCCCAAACCCCUGUGAACAUACCACUUGUUGCCUCGGCGGAUCAGCCCGCUCCCGGUAAAACGGGACGGCCCGCCAGAGGACCCCUAAACUCUGUUUCUAUAUGUAACUUCUGAGUAAACCAUAAAUAAAUCA